Molecule: ribosomal RNA, 406 nt
Filed under: uncultured bacterium
Lineage: Bacteria
Description: partial 16S ribosomal RNA
Rfam family: Bacterial small subunit ribosomal RNA
Source: RNAcentral
AUUGAACGCUGGCGGCAGGCUUAACACAUGCAAGUCGAACGCGUGGCGGACGGGUGAGUAAUGCUUGGGAAUCUGCCUUAUGGAGGGGGAUAACUACUGGAAACUGUAGCUCAUACCGCGUACCAUAAGAUGAGCCCAGGUGUGAUUAGGUAGUUGGUGAGGUAAGGGCUAACCAAGCCGACGAUCCCUAGCUGGUCUGAGAGGAUGACAAGCCACACUGGGACUGAGACACGGCCCAGACUCCUACGGGAGGCAGCAGUGGGGAAUAUUGCACAAUGGGCGCAAGCCUGAUGCAGCCAUGCCGCGUGUAUGAAGAAGGCCUUAGGGUUGUAAAGCACUUUCAGCGGGGAGGCGUUACUCGCAGAAGAAGCACCGGCUAACUCCGUGCCAGCAGCCGCGGUAAUAC